GACGAACGCUGGCGGCGUGCUUAACACAUGCAAGUCGAACGGUAAGGCCCUUCGGGGGUACACGAGUGGCGAACGGGUGAGUAACACGUGGGUGAUCUGCCCUGCACUUCGGGAUAAGCCUGGGAAACUGGGUCUAAUACCGGAUAGGACCACUGCCUGCAUGGGUGGUGGUGGAAAGCUUUUGCGGUGUGGGAUGGGCCCGCGGCCGAUCAGCUUGUUGGUGGGGUGGUGGCCUACCAAGGCGACGACGGGUAGCCGGCCUGAGAGGGUGACCGGCCACACUGGGACUGCGAUACGGGCCAGACUCGUACGGGAGGCAGCAGUGAGGGGUCUUCCACAAUGGGCGAAAGCCUGAUGGAGCGACACCGCGUGAAGGAAGAAGGCCUAACGGUUGUAAACUUCUUUUCUGAAGGAGCAUAAUGAGAGUACUUCAGGAAUAAGGAACGGCUAAUCACGUGCCAGCCGCCGCGGUAA
Molecule: ribosomal RNA, 474 nt
Filed under: uncultured bacterium
Lineage: Bacteria
Description: partial 16S ribosomal RNA
Rfam family: Bacterial small subunit ribosomal RNA
Source: RNAcentral